This 633-nucleotide ribosomal RNA is filed under the name Microbacterium sp. Ri2Ps_4901. RNAcentral's name for it is "bacterial SSU rRNA". It matches the Rfam family "Bacterial small subunit ribosomal RNA", at positions 382 to 1024 of the family's 1533-position model. Lineage: Bacteria; Bacillati; Actinomycetota; Actinomycetes; Micrococcales; Microbacteriaceae. The record is from RNAcentral.
CCUGAUGCAGCAACGCCGCGUGAGGGAUGACGGCCUUCGGGUUGUAAACCUCUUUUAGCAAGGAAGAAGCGAAAGUGACGGUACUUGCAGAAAAAGCGCCGGCUAACUACGUGCCAGCAGCCGCGGUAAUACGUAGGGCGCAAGCGUUAUCCGGAAUUAUUGGGCGUAAAGAGCUCGUAGGCGGUUUGUCGCGUCUGCUGUGAAAUCUGGAGGCUCAACCUCCAGCCUGCAGUGGGUACGGGCAGACUAGAGUGCGGUAGGGGAGAUUGGAAUUCCUGGUGUAGCGGUGGAAUGCGCAGAUAUCAGGAGGAACACCGAUGGCGAAGGCAGAUCUCUGGGCCGUAACUGACGCUGAGGAGCGAAAGGGUGGGGAGCAAACAGGCUUAGAUACCCUGGUAGUCCACCCCGUAAACGUUGGGAACUAGUUGUGGGGACCAUUCCACGGUUUCCGUGACGCAGCUAACGCAUUAAGUUCCCCGCCUGGGGAGUACGGCCGCAAGGCUAAAACUCAAAGGAAUUGACGGGGACCCGCACAAGCGGCGGAGCAUGCGGAUUAAUUCGAUGCAACGCGAAGAACCUUACCAAGGCUUGACAUAUACGAGAACGCUGCAGAAAUGUAGAACUCUUUGGACA